Molecule: ribosomal RNA, 429 nt
Filed under: Verrucomicrobiota bacterium
Lineage: Bacteria; Pseudomonadati; Verrucomicrobiota
Description: Verrucomicrobia bacterium partial 16S ribosomal RNA
Rfam family: Bacterial small subunit ribosomal RNA
Source: RNAcentral
UAGGGAAUCUUCCGCAAUGGACGAAAGUCUGACGGAGCAACGCCGCGUGAGUGAAGAAGGCUUUCGGUUCGUAAAACUCUGUUGUUAGGGAAGAAAAAAUGUAUAGUAACUAUAUACAAAAGAGACGGUACCUAACCAGAAAGCCACGGCUAACUACGUGCCAGCAGCCGCGGUAAUACGUAGGUGGCAAGCGUUGUCCGGAAUUAGUGGGCGUAAAGCGCGCGCAGGUGGUUUAGAAAGUCUGAUGUGAAAGCCCACGGCUCAACCGUGGAGGGUCAUUGGAAACUAAUAAACUUGAGUGCAGGAGAGAAAAGUGGAAUUCCUAGUGUAGCGGUGAAAUGCGUAGAGAUUAGGAGGAACACCGGUGGCGAAAGCGGCUUUUUGGCCUGCAACUGACACUGAGGCGCGAAAGCGUGGGGAGCAAACAGG